GAUGAACGCUGGCGGCGUGCCUAAUACAUGCAAGUCGAGCGAACAGACGAGGAGCUUGCUCCUCUGACGUUAGCGGCGGACGGGUGAGUAACACGUGGAUAACCUACCUAUAAGACUGGGAUAACUUCGGGAAACCGGAGCUAAUACCGGAUAAUAUAUUGAACCGCAUGGUUCAAUAGUGAAAGACGGUUUUGCUGUCACUUAUCGAUGGAUCCGCGCCGCAUUAGCUAGUUGGUAAGGUAACGGCUUACCAAGGCGACGAUGCGUAGCCGACCUGAGAGGGUGAUCGUCCACACUGGAACUGAGACACGGUCCAGACUCCUACGGGAGGCAGCAGUAGGGAAUCUUCCGCAAUGGGCGAAAGCCUGACGGAGCAACGCCGCGUGAGUGAUGAAGGUCUUCGGAUCGUAAAACUCUGUUAUUAGGGAAGAACAAAUGUGUAAGUAACUAUGCACGUCUUGACGGUACCUAAUCAGAAAGCCACGGCUAACUACGUG
This 497-nucleotide ribosomal RNA is filed under the name uncultured bacterium. Its description in RNAcentral is "partial 16S ribosomal RNA". It matches the Rfam family "Bacterial small subunit ribosomal RNA", at positions 28 to 507 of the family's 1533-position model. The record is from RNAcentral.